CUGGAUCAGAAGGCCGUGACCCGAGUGGUGCAACUCUGUGCUCUCACUGACGACAUGGAAACACCACCUAUUCCACCCGAAGUUGCUGAACUCUUGGAACAAUAUGCGGUGCUUUUUGAGGAACCCAACAGCCUGCCUCCCCAACGCUCGUUCGACCACGCCAUUCCACUGGUGCCUGGAGCUCGACCAGUUAACCUCAGACCAUACAGGCACAACCCAGCGCAGAAGGACGAAGUGGAACGUCAGGUCUCAGAAAUGCUCGCCCAGGGGAUAAUCCAACCCAGCUCCAGCCCGUUCGCAUCUCCGGUUCUUUUGGUGCAGAAAAAGGACCUUACCUGGCGAUUUUGUGUAGACUAUCGGCAUCUCAAUGCAGUCACUGUCAAGAAUCGCUACCCUCUGCCUGUGAUUGAAGAACUUCUUGACGAGCUAGCAGGGUCACGGUUCUUUACCAGCUUGGAUCUAAGAGCAGGUUACCAUCAGAUUCGCAUGCGACCGGAGGAUGAGCAUAAAACAGCGUUUAAAACCCACCACGGGCACUUUGAAUUCAAAGUAAUGCCGUACGGUGUCACAGGGGGUCUGGCAACUUUCCAAGGGGUCGUG
This 600-nucleotide ribosomal RNA is filed under the name Triticum aestivum (bread wheat). RNAcentral describes it as "partial small subunit ribosomal RNA". The record is from RNAcentral. Lineage: Eukaryota; Viridiplantae; Streptophyta; Magnoliopsida; Poales; Poaceae.